AACUGACAUAAGCUGGCACUCUGCUGUAUAUCUUGGCACCAUAUUGCUUUCAUCUCUGGAGUCGGGUGUCUUACAAAUUUAACAGUGUAAGUUGGGACUGUCCAAAGAUAUUUACAGUAAUGCUGAGGUCAAGCAAUAGCAGUGGAACUGUAGAGGAUGUGGGGGCUGGGCCAAAGCUGUGGGACUCCGGAUUUAUUCUGUGAGUUGGAGAAUUGUCUAGUUAUCAGAUCAACAGAGGAGCAAACCUCUAACAGCAUCUCCGUGCUUCCUCCCACCCUCUCAACAGGAGGCAUUGGAGAAGGUUUAUCUAAUGACUGACAUCUGACGCAUAAGGUGCAGGCACACUUACUCAGGGUGCGAAUAUUUACUGAGUGUCUCCGUGGGGCCAUACACUAUUCUAGGCGCUGUACAUACACCAGUAAAGAGAAGCUGUCCUCAUCUGUCUUACUUUCUGGUCUUAAAUAUAAAGCCAAGAGGCAUUUAGCAGCACAAAUCCUCUUCAGCAGUCAACACUCCCAAAGUUUCAGGCACUGAGGAAAAUAAAAACAAAACUGUGGCCCUUUCCCAAGAAGCGCACAGUGUCCACAAGGAUGUGAAAGCCAUCUGGAAACUGAUAAACUGCAAAAAGCUCAGCCAUCUUCUGUUGGCAAAAUAAAAGAAUGAUGUCCUUGGAAGAAUGAUGUCCUUGGAAAGUCAUCAAAUAAAAA
This 707-nucleotide non-coding RNA is filed under the name Pongo abelii (Sumatran orangutan). The record is from RNAcentral. Lineage: Eukaryota; Metazoa; Chordata; Mammalia; Primates; Hominidae.